This 65-nucleotide transfer RNA is filed under the name Platycnemis phyllopoda. RNAcentral describes it as "tRNA-Pro". The record is from RNAcentral. Lineage: Eukaryota; Metazoa; Arthropoda; Insecta; Odonata; Platycnemididae.
CAGAGAAUAGUUUAAAUAAAAUAUUAAUUUUGGAGAUUAAUGAUGUAUACAUUAUAUUUCUCUGA